UCGACAAACCUAUUUAUGUAAAAGGUUGUAAGCUCCUUCUAUACUUUUGCUGGUUAUAAGUUAAGAGAAUUAAUAUUGUAGUUGAAGUAUUUCCCGAGUGUAUUACUGUAUUUUGUGGUUGCACAUUUAUUCUGAACCAUCUGGAUGAUGCAUCACAUAACCAAAUAAGAUUUUCUUUCCCUGAUUCUUUCUUGCUAACUUUUCUCCAUAUGGCUACAUCAUAAAUUUUUUAAAAUGAAGCACUCAUGUCAAAAACGGCUG
Molecule: unclassified non-coding RNA, 261 nt
Filed under: Hevea brasiliensis (rubber tree)
Lineage: Eukaryota; Viridiplantae; Streptophyta; Magnoliopsida; Malpighiales; Euphorbiaceae
Source: RNAcentral